RNAcentral lists this ribosomal RNA (1006 nucleotides) under uncultured bacterium. RNAcentral describes it as "bacterial SSU rRNA". It matches the Rfam family "Bacterial small subunit ribosomal RNA", at positions 502 to 1502 of the family's 1533-position model. The record is from RNAcentral.
CCGGGGCAAAGCCAGACCGGGGUAAAUACGGAGGGGGGGAGCGUUAAUUCGGAAUUUCUGGGGGUAAAGCGCAUGCAGGUUGGUUUGUUAAGUCAGAUGUGAAAGCCCGGGGCUCAACCUCGGAAUUGCAUUUGAAACUGGCAAACUAGAGUACUGUAGAGGGGGGUAGAAUUUCAGGUGUAGCGGUGAAAUGCGUAGAGAUCUGAAGGAAUACCGGUGGCGAAGGCGGCCCCCUGGACAGAUACUGACACUCAGAUGCGAAAGCGUGGGGAGCAAACAGGAUUAGAUACCCUGGUAGUCCACGCCGUAAACGAUGUCUACUUGGAGGUUGUGGCCUUGAGCCGUGGCUUUCGGAGCUAACGCGUUAAGUAGACCGCCUGGGGAGUACGGUCGCAAGAUUAAAACUCAAAUGAAUUGACGGGGGCCCGCACAAGCGGUGGAGCAUGUGGUUUAAUUCGAUGCAACGCGAAGAACCUUACCUACUCUUGACAUCUACAGAAGCCAGCGGAGACGCAGGUGUGCCUUCGGGAACUGUAAGACAGGUGCUGCAUGGCUGUCGUCAGCUCGUGUUGUGAAAUGUUGGGUUAAGUCCCGCAACGAGCGCAACCCUUAUCCUUGUUUGCCAGCACUUCGGGUGGGAACUCCAGGGAGACUGCCGGUGAUAAACCGGAGGAAGGUGGGGACGACGUCAAGUCAUCAUGGCCCUUACGAGUAGGGCUACACACGUGCUACAAUGGCGCAUACAGAGGGCGGCCAACUUGCGAAAGUGAGCGAAUCCCAAAAAGUGCGUCGUAGUCCGGAUUGGAGUCUGCAACUCGACUCCAUGAAGUCGGAAUCGCUAGUAAUCGUGGAUCAGAAUGCCACGGUGAAUACGUUCCCGGGCCUUGUACACACCGCCCGUCACACCAUGGGAGUGGGCUGCAAAAGAAGUGGGUAGUUUAACCUUCGGGAGGACGCUCACCACUUUGUGGUUCAUGACUGGGGGGAAGUCGUAACAAGGUAACCG